Molecule: long non-coding RNA, 3173 nt
Organism: Ictalurus furcatus (blue catfish)
Lineage: Eukaryota; Metazoa; Chordata; Actinopteri; Siluriformes; Ictaluridae
Exons: 3
Source: RefSeq, a predicted model, not a curated record
AAAAACCGUGAGAGAGAACUUAAUUAAGUGCUGGCGCACUGUGUAGUGAUGUGUCGUUCGUGAAGGAAUCGUUCAUUUUGAACGAAUCUUUAAUAUGAUUCGGGAACAACGAGUUGUCUCAGAGGGUGAUGCGUUCAUUUUUGAACGCGCAUGCGCAGCAACAUCCCCAUAGGUUCUGUACCGGAAACAGAAAUGAUUAGUUCACCUCUGGAGUCUUUGGUUCGAGUCGUUCGUUCAUCACUUCACAGCCCCACUGCAUUCAGAAUAUGGGGCAGUCACGUGAUGAACGAAUGCCUCGAGCCUGAAGACUUGAGACGUGAACUGAUCAAAUGUGACGUGACCAAAGAAGUACGACUCGGAUCGGGAGGUGAACUAACAGACUGCUAAUGCUAAGCAAUUAAUCAAUCAUUUCUGUUUCUCAUAAUUCGGCCUCGGUUGCAUUAGCCUAUAGUUUAUUUUUUAUUCCAAAUGUGAUCAACGUUUGCCUUUGCUUACAAUAUCAAUUCUUUUAUGAGGGUCUUGACAAACACGCCUCAAAGCUGCUGUAUUUGUACCGCCCGAGGCGCCAUGCAGACAUCGCAGAAAGGAGUGCCAUACUGGAGAGCCUGGAUAAAAAUGCAUCAAAUCACAGGAAGAGGGUUGCAGUACUGCUGGGGCUGCCACUGUCCAUGCGGGAGAAUCCAUCUCAGUUCUUACAGAUCUGUGAGGUAAGUGUCUGUGAGGAAAGUAAGAUGUUGGAAGAUAUUCAGAUAAUGGAAGUCCAUGUAUUGAUAUUUCCAACUAUUUUGAUGGAGUUUACCUCAUUUUAUUUUCAUGAGAGAUGAUAAAUUUCAGGACGUUGUACUGUGUUUUUUUUCCACCUUCUAAAAUUAAUUCAUUUUGUGUGAUGACUAGUAAAGUUAAGAUCGGUUCACUCAUGCUGUUCUUAAGUCGCUGCGCUUGUGAGGGUGUGUGUGUGAAAGCACAUUUUAAAGUUUGUCUUUGUUUUUAAUACAGCACACAGAUUCUGAAGAAGAGUUAAUCAAGGGCGUGACUGUUGGAAUCAGUACAGUUGUGGAUGACGUGAUGGACCCUAUUCCGUGUGACUGCAGUGAUGUAGCCCUUGUAAUGGAAGAAGUUGUCGUUCUACGCAAUCUUGGUGAUGUACCAAAUGCAUUUGUCAACUUGAUGGGAUUGCUUUCUGCACGUAACAUAAACUACCCCAAAACUUCACAUACACCUUUGAGGUGAUUCAGAGGCUGUUCAUGAACAUCGGAGCUGAUGCCUGCAGUGCAUGAGUACAUUCACUUAAAAAUAAUCUGCUCAAGUAGAGACGGUGUUAUGCAUUUCUUGUAAGAGAGAUUUCAUGUGUUGUUGUGUUGUGUAUGUUACAGUUUCUAUACCUAAACAGCAUGACUUCAAUUUUGUUGUGUAUUUUCACCUUUAAACACUGGGCAAUUGAAAUGUAAUGUUGUUAGGCAAAAACAGAUUUCUGCUUGCUUUUUCUGUUUAUUUUGAGAAAUUCAUGUAAUUUCAAGACACAUGCAGCUUUUAUGUGAGAGUUUGCUGACUUCCUGUCAGUGUUGAGAAUGAAGUUUGACAGAAUUCUAAUUGUGGGUGACUUUAACAUCCAUGUGGACCGGAGUGACUCUGUGGCGGUUAAGGAAUUCCUGUCGCUACUUGAUUGUUUUAGCUUCACUCGGUUUGUAACUGACCCGACUCAUAACAAGGGACAUACGCUGGAUCUCGUGAUUGCAAACGGCUCGUUUGUAUCUGUUUUCAUCUGUUGACAUUGGACUGUCUGAUCAUUCAGCUGUCUUUUUUAAUCUGGAACUGUAUCAUCCAUGUGAGCCUACCGUCUGAACAGUACCCUUCCAGAAGUGGAAAUCUAUGGAUCGGACAGUUUUCUCCGAUUCGGUUGUUUCCACUUUAAGCGAUCUUCAUCCCUCAUCGCUGGAGGAGAAAGUCCUGCAGUUAAAUUCUGCUCUUGCUGCUAAUCUUGACUCUUUUGCUCCUCUAAGGUCACGUAAGGUCACAUUCUCCCGCUCUGCUCCUUGGUAUAAUGACAAUCUGCGCUCUAGAAAGGCUGCUUGUGGGAAAAUGGAGCGCAAACGGCACCUUACUGGACUAUAUGUCUAUCAAGCGUGGAAGGAUCUUCUGGGUGAUUAUCGAGCACUAAUGGAGACUGAAAGAUCCUCUUACUUCUCUCAGACUAUUGUAAAAAAUCAAAAUAAUCCCAGACACUUGUUCCAAACCAUAAACAGACUGCUUCAAGUUAAUGCUGUUACCACCUUGCCCGUUUCUCAGCAGGUCUGUGAUUCUUUUCUUCAGUUUUUUCAUUCUAAGAGUGAUAAUGUUCGCACAGAAAUUCCUGUCACACCUGACUCUGCCUCUUCACUCCUUCGUCCAUCUGGGUUCACUGGUGUUUCUUUCACUCAUUUCUCACUGCUUGAUUCUGAGGCUCUCACAAGGGAGGAAUCCAGCAUGAAAUCAACCACUUGCUUGCUGGAUCCAAUUCCCACAAACCUAUUUAAAUCGUGCUUCGAUGUUUGGUGCCCUGCUAUCCUCAGCAUUAUAAAUGAAUCACUGGAGACUGGGGUCGUUCCAACAGUACUAAAGACUGCUGCUGUUACACCUGUACCAAAGAAAGAAAAUGUUUCCGUGGAUGAUUUUAACAAUUUUCGUCCCAUUUCAAAUCUUCCGUUUUUGGCUAAAAUACUUGAGCGUGUUGUUGCCUCUCAACUAUGUAAUCAUCUUACAAUUAAUUACCUCCUUGAACCCCUUCAGUGAGGUUUUUACUAAUCUGCUUUAUUAAUCCCUUACACCCCAAAUCGCAGACUGCGCUCCUCACAGUGUAAUUUGUUAACUGUUCCACAACCCGCCUAAAAUCUACAGGUGACGGGACUUCUUCUGUCUACGCUCCUUCCCUUUGGAACUCUCUUCCUCCUGAACUCAGGGAAGCUCAGACCUUUGACAUUUUUAAAGCUCUACUUAAGACACUUUUUUUAAACUUGCAUUUGACUGCUGAUGUCUUUUUAUUUAUUUAUUUAUUUAUUUAUUAUUAUUAUUUUAUAAUUAUUAUUAUUAAUGUUCGUAUUAACUUGAUUUAUUUUUUGUACUGCUUAUUUUGUGUACAGCGCAUUGAGAAGCUGCUUUUAAAGGCGCUUUAUAAAAUAAAGAUUAUUAUUACUUAU